GAGACUACACACAACGUUCUUGGUACUCGUAUACAUAUGCGUGGCAAACCUUCUUGCCUACGAAGUGACAAGCACAAUGCAAUUUGCUAUAGCACCACGCCGCGCCGUAGGGCUAGCUGUGUGCUAUCCCAUGUUGGCGGUGUUCGUUUUGUUUAGUGCGUAUUUAAGCGACAUGUGCUGGCCGGCGCACUCAGUUGCUGUCAGAUUUUUAAGAGAAGCGGUUGCGUGUGGAGCACCUUCGAUACAGGUGUCUAUAAAGCUUGUUUUGGUGCUAUUGAAAUUCUACAAGAA
Molecule: long non-coding RNA, 291 nt
Organism: Rhagoletis zephyria (snowberry fruit fly)
Lineage: Eukaryota; Metazoa; Arthropoda; Insecta; Diptera; Tephritidae
Source: RefSeq, a predicted model, not a curated record